This 1594-nucleotide long non-coding RNA is filed under the name Cicer arietinum (chickpea). Its description in RNAcentral is "long non-coding RNA (CARI_LNC002081)". Lineage: Eukaryota; Viridiplantae; Streptophyta; Magnoliopsida; Fabales; Fabaceae. The record is from RNAcentral.
AAGAACAUGUAACAAUAUUUGAUGGACAAAAAGUUUUCCGUAAACACAAAAUUCCUCCAAAAAAAUCAUUCGCCUCUACAUGAACACCAUCAUCAACGAAAUUCUUUCUCACAACAUUUUCAGCUUUAGAGACAUUUAUUCUAGGUUCAAGAAUAGCAACAAAAUUUAGAUUAUACAUCUUAAUAUAAUCCUUCACUAAAUUGAGGAAGUGUUUUCCAUUCACUCCUUUGUAAUUCCAAACAAAACAAUUCAUUGCAAUUUAGUAAACAACUCUCACAACAAAGGAAUCAACAAGGUGCUCACAAGGAGAAAAAUCCAACUCUCACAAAGGAGAGAGAAACAUCCAAUACUCUCACAAAGUAGAGAACAAGCAUUAAUAAUCAAUAUGCGGCGUAUAAAAUCAUGUUACCGAAACUCCAAAAACAACAUUACUAGAAUUUCAAGGAGAUUGGUUAAACAUUAAUUCCAUAAAAACACUGAAAGUACAUACUAUAGAAUGGCUGCCCUAGGAGGAGGAGCGACGAUGCAAGGAGGCGAGGCGACGAAGAAGGGCUUAAAGAACAACGACACAAGAAUGGGCUUUACCCUCAUGCCUAUGAGAAAUCUGAGCAUGCCAACUUAAACUCACCAAAUCUCUAAUACAACACACUAAGGUAGGAGUGCUUUCAUUAAAAUUGACUUUCUACACUAAGGGGAGUGAUUCCUUGAUUUCAAGCAAGCUCCAUGAAUGUUAAAAAAACACAAGAAACGAGGACAAACUUGGUAAUUUAAAGCACAAAAUAAAUAAGUUGAGGAAAGAAGUAAGUCACACAAGGUAGCUACAUCUAGUCCCUUCACUUAGAAGAAUUUUCUCCAAUAAUUCAAAUUGAAUUACAACAUUUAACUUCAACAACUUAUGUCUACUCAACUUCUAGUUUGCACCUACAAACUGUUGAGGAAAACAGUCACUACCGAGCUAAGUUACAAAUGAAUGAGUUUAGGUUUUUUUUGAAAAAAUCUCUCUCAUGAGGUUGUUUAUCUUGUAAUACUUUCAGAUUUUUCUUUCUCAACACUUUGAUAAAUUUUGAAUGAUUGCAUAAUUUUAUAGUGUUGUUGUGUUGCGUGUAGUUUUUGUGUAAAUGUUGUGUGUUGGUUUUUCUUAGUUCACUGCUGCUCAAGUAAGGAAACAUGUUCUUUUUAGUGUUUUUAGGGUAUGACCUUUAUACUUAAGCAGAAGACAACCUAUAUCUUCAUGGAUUUCAGCAAUAAACCGUUAAAGAUAAAUUUAUUCAUUGAGCUCAAGUAAGAUCACAAUCCCAAAAUCACUCUUCGUAACUUGAAUAAAAACAGAGGAAGCAGAGGGUACAUGAUCAGAGGAUAGGAUAAUUAGAGUAUUGUCUUACAAACCAUUAGAGCAUGCAAAUUAUAGAUUAUUAUCAGAGUAUGCGCACGACUUGUCUUCUCAGAGGAUUAACUACCAUCAAAUCACUUACUCUCAUCAAAGCGUUAACUUAUUUAGAGUUGUUGACUUCUUCAGAAACGUUAACUUUUUCAGAACAUUGACUUCUUCAUGAGCGUUAAUUGAAAGUUGACUUUGUUUAGAGGCAUACGAAUC